This 483-nucleotide ribosomal RNA is filed under the name uncultured bacterium. RNAcentral's name for it is "partial 16S ribosomal RNA". It matches the Rfam family "Bacterial small subunit ribosomal RNA", at positions 30 to 507 of the family's 1533-position model. The record is from RNAcentral.
AUUGAACGCUGGCGGAAUGCUUUACACAUGCAAGUCGAACGGCAGCACGGGGGCAACCCUGGUGGCGAGUGGCGAACGGGUGAGUAAUACAUCGGAACGUGCCCGGUCGUGGGGGAUAACGUAGCGAAAGUUACGCUAAUACCGCAUACGAUCUGAGGAUGAAAGCGGGGACCUUCGGGCCUCGCGCGAUCGGAGCGGCCGAUGUCAGAUUAGGUAGUUGGUGGGGUAAAGGCCUACCAAGCCGACGAUCUGUAGCUGGUCUGAGAGGACGACCAGCCACACUGGGACUGAGACACGGCCCAGACUCCUACGGGAGGCAGCAGUGGGGAAUUUUGGACAAUGGGCGCAAGCCUGAUCCAGCCAUUCCGCGUGCAGGACGAAGGCCUUCGGGUUGUAAACUGCUUUUGUAUGGAACGAGAAGGCUCUGGCUAAUACCUGGGGCUCAUGACGGUACCGUAAGAAUAAGCACCGGCUAACUACGUG